AUGCCCAUCCUGCUAUGCCGGCGGAUUCCAAUGGCAGGUCUGGUUGCGCACAAGAUGAGGGUCCGCGGCCCCGUUAGGCUGGCAGGCGAACUACGACGAGGAAACAAUGCUUCUCCAAAUAGGUUGUGGCUGGGGAGUGCUCCAUUGGACAUAACUCCGUGCACAUCGAAGAUGAGUUUGUUGGAGCAAUCUAUUUGCAAAUAUGCGGAGAAGCCUAUGAAGAGUUUAAUAAAAUCGGAGUUAGGAUUGACUUUCAACUCACUCGGGGAGGCCUACGACUUCUACAGGUCGUACUUGUGGGAGGUUUGGCUUUGGGAUCAGGUAUGGUAA
RNAcentral lists this ribosomal RNA (330 nucleotides) under Triticum aestivum (bread wheat). Its description in RNAcentral is "partial small subunit ribosomal RNA". Lineage: Eukaryota; Viridiplantae; Streptophyta; Magnoliopsida; Poales; Poaceae. The record is from RNAcentral.